UACGGGAGGCAGCAGUGGGGAAUCUUGGACAAUGGGCGCAAGCCUGAUCCAGCCAUGCCGCGUGAGUGAUGAAGGCCUUAGGGUCGUAAAGCUCUUUCGCCAGGGAUGAUAAUGACAGUACCUGGUAAAGAAACCCCGGCUAACUCCGUGCCAGCAGCCGCGGUAAUACGGAGGGGGUUAGCGUUGUUCGGAAUUACUGGGCGUAAAGCGCGCGUAGGCGGAUUAGUCAGUUAGAGGUGAAAUCCCGGGGCUCAACCCCGGAACUGCCUUUAAUACUGCUAGUCUUGAGUUCGAGAGAGGUGAGUGGAAUUCCGAGUGUAGAGGUGAAAUUCGUAGAUAUUCGGAGGAACACCAGUGGCGAAGGCGGCUCACUGGCUCGAUACUGACGCUGAGGUGCGAAAGUGUGGGGAGCAAACAGGAUUAGAUACCCUGGCAGUCCACACCGUAAACGAUGAAUGCCAGUCGUCGGGUAGCAUGCUAUUCGGUGACACACCUAACGGAUUAAGCAUUCCGCCUGGGGAGUACGGUCGCAAGAUUAAAACUCAAAUGAAUUGACGGGG
This 560-nucleotide ribosomal RNA is filed under the name uncultured bacterium. RNAcentral describes it as "bacterial SSU rRNA". It matches the Rfam family "Bacterial small subunit ribosomal RNA", at positions 340 to 918 of the family's 1533-position model. The record is from RNAcentral.